Molecule: ribosomal RNA, 473 nt
Filed under: uncultured bacterium
Lineage: Bacteria
Description: bacterial SSU rRNA
Rfam family: Bacterial small subunit ribosomal RNA
Source: RNAcentral
ACUCCUACGGGAGGCAGCAGUGGGGAAUAUUGCACAAUGGGCGCAAGCCUGAUGCAGCCAUGCCGCGUGUAUGAAGAAGGCCUUCGGGUUGUAAAGCACUUUCAGUCGUGAGGAAGGUAGUGUAGUUAAUAGCUGCAUUAUUUGACGUUAGCGACAGAAGAAGCACCGGCUAACUCCGUGCCAGCAGCCGCGGUAAUACGGAGGGUGCGAGCGUUAAUCGGAAUUACUGGGCGUAAAGCGCAUGCAGGUGGUUUGUUAAGUCAGAUGUGAAAGCCCGGGGCUCAACCUCGGAAUAGCAUUUGAAACUGGCAGACUAGAGUACUGUAGAGGGGGGUAGAAUUUCAGGUGUAGCGGUGAAAUGCGUAGAGAUCUGAAGGAAUACCGGUGGCGAAGGCGGCCCCCUGGACAGAUACUGACACUCAGAUGCGAAAGCGUGGGGAGCAAACAGGAUUAGAUACCCUGGUAGGAUAGCG